GGACGGUGACGAUUGUAUCUAAAGGUCUCGUUCGUCGUAACUGGCUGUGUGAAAUGGCCUUGACGACCAUCCUGAUAUAUCACCACCCAUAUUCUGAGUCC
Cucumis sativus (cucumber) is the source of this 101-nucleotide non-coding RNA. Lineage: Eukaryota; Viridiplantae; Streptophyta; Magnoliopsida; Cucurbitales; Cucurbitaceae. The record is from Rfam.